RNAcentral lists this long non-coding RNA (503 nucleotides) under Toxoplasma gondii VEG. The record is from RNAcentral. Lineage: Eukaryota; Apicomplexa; Conoidasida; Eucoccidiorida; Sarcocystidae.
CUGUCUAAUAAGCUGUUGCUCUCAGCUGUUCAGUCACGUCGUGAUUCUGGCGUAUGGGGAUUCUCCAUCUUUCGUGUUUUCAUCCUCUUUCCCCCUACGAAAUCCUCGUUGCCUCUGCCUUUCUUCUUGUCUCCUCUAUACCUUCCCUUUCUACUUGUGUUUCUUUCUUCUGCCCCGUCCCUUUUUACCCUUACGUGGCGCGCCACAGUGGUUUCUCCUUCCGUUCUUCUUUCCCUGCGGCCUUCUCGCUCUGAAGCUGGGGCUGCUUCCUUCUUCGCUGUCGCGACCUACACACUCGACCUCUCCGAAUUUUCCUUACGGCUCACUGCCCUCUUUUCCCCUCGCUUUUGCCUGGCCUCAGCACGGCGCCGCCAACAUGGCGCUACUGGGCCUUGUUGCGUCAGCUUGACACAAAAAAUUUGGGUUUCAUUUUCCUGUUCGCACGAUGAAAACUCGACAACACCCGGUUGGUCAAGGUGACUACAGCGAACCGAUGAAGCGUU